GCCAAUCCGUGCCCCCUCAGCUCCUCUUGCCCCAGAUCCAGGGAAGGGAAACUAACAUUUACUGAGUGACCGGCAUUUCUCGUGCGUUAUGUCAGGUAAUCCUCACAGCAGCCCUUCAAGGUGGGUCCUGCCCUCCUGGGCCUUCACCUGGCAGGAGAACUCCAUGCUUCGACAGGCGAUGGCAGGACCUGCAAUGAGUGCUGUGAAGAAGGAAUGCCUCAACCCAGCGGGGGUGAGGAAGCAGGAGGGGUGCCGAGGAGGAACGUUGGCAGUUUGGUUUAGAGAAGUGGGGACCACACAUAAGCCCACACUGGCUUCACUCAAGAGAGACCUGCUGGUUAUUUGCUCCAAGCCCGGUGCUGGGUGGGGAGGCGAUCCAGGAUUCUGAAGCCCAUUGCGAGACUGCACACCAUGGCGUGUGGAUUCAGGCUAGAAAACAGGGCUCCUUUCUGUUUUUCUUGGUGUUGCAUUAAAUAAAUAUAUACGAUAC
This 490-nucleotide long non-coding RNA is filed under the name Equus caballus (horse). RNAcentral's name for it is "lncRNA (ENSECAG00000045868.1)". The record is from RNAcentral. Lineage: Eukaryota; Metazoa; Chordata; Mammalia; Perissodactyla; Equidae.